GGAAGCGCCGGGCUUAGGUUACGAGGUUGAGGUACGUUGUAUUUUGUGCACUAUGGUGAUAAUUGAGGCAGAAGUUUUUGGCCUAGUUAAGAUGCAGGAGGUUCAGGGAUCUUGUAGUGAUCGGUCUACGACAGCUUUGGAAACCUCUAGGUUCGAAAACCUGAGGUAUUCUUUUGAUCACGCGGCGGCCACGUGCAACCCUGGCGCUGAGUCAGAAGUCGAGCGCGCACGGGUCACGGGCCCUCCGACAAAGGAUCGGUGCACCUGAUGACCGGCAAAGGUCCCGAAUUCCGCUGUCGGUGUCAAGUGGCCAUCUUGAAGCUACUCCGCCACUGUUAAAUAAAUAGUGACAUCGAAUCCUGAUACCCGCCACAUUUAGAUCCAGAAAGAAGCUGAACUAAUCGUUCCAAUGGAUGACAGGAAACAUGACAAGAUAAUCAAGAAAUUCAAAAUGUAUGGGUGAAGUCCUGUUUAUUUAGAAUCUUGUGGUGCACUGCCAAACGUGAUUUUUUUUAAUCGCAACAUGUUGCAUAUUGAGUGGUGAAUAAUCUGUAAGCUAUCAAGUUGGUGGUCUCCAUAUAGGCCAGAAUAUUACUUCGGCGUAAGUAUGACAUUUAGUAGAGAAUAAGUGAGUGCUUGCUUGCUAUAAUUAAAUAAAAUGCUUGAUUUCAUCUGGAAAAA
This is a long non-coding RNA of Herpailurus yagouaroundi (jaguarundi), 681 nucleotides long. RefSeq lists it as uncharacterized. The record is from RefSeq and is a predicted model, not a curated record. The transcript has 3 exons. NCBI's taxonomy places the organism in Eukaryota, Metazoa, Chordata, Mammalia, Carnivora, Felidae.